UAAAAAAAAAAAAGAGGAAAAGUAACCAUUCAAAUCGAAACUUUGGGCUCUUAAAACCCAAAAUUAGGAUAAUAGAAGUACUCCCCAAAUCCACAUCCUCUUUCUGUAAUCGAAACAACCAUUCAUCAAAACUCAACGCCAAAAUUCUCCCAUCCUGAUUCUGAAGAAACCCUACAAAUUCAGAUGUCUAGUCGCUCCAGCAGUACUGACAACUCUUUUGACGUAGAGGAACUAUUGCAGAUUGAGACAAGAUGUCGAGAGCUAAGAAAAGAGAAGGACAUGCUGAGGGACUCACAACCUCAAAGCUUUGAACUGAUCAGGAGAUUAGAACUACAUGUGAAGACAUUAUCAGAAGCCCGUGCAGAAGACGAGAAACGCAUCCAGGAGCUGGAAAGAGAGUUGAACAACUGCUCUCAAGAAAUAGAUUACUUACAGGAUCAACUGAAUGCAAGGAACGAAGAGAACUAUUGUCUGGGAGAGCAUGUACAUAGCCUUGAGCUAAAAAUCGCAGAAACGGGAAGUUUAGAGGAGACGGUUGGCAGUUUAAGUGAAGAACUGAACUGGUCCAAUUCAGAGCGCUUGUUUUUUAUGCAGGAAUUAGAGAGCAAAGAAGUGGAACUACAAAAUUCAGCUUCAUGCAUAGAGAAACUAGAAGAGUCAGUUUCUUCUGUUGCAUUGGAGUACCAAUGUGAAAUAGAGAGCAUGAAGCUUGAUAUGACGACCUUGGAGCGGAGGUUUUUCGAAGUGAAGAAGUUGCAGGAAGAGGAUGCAAGAGAAAAAGUGAGGAUGAAUGAGUUGAUUCAAGAUUUAGAAAUUCAGAUUCAAAAUGACCAAGAAAUUAUUGGAAGUUUGGAGAAGGAAAAUAAAGAACUCAGGUUUAAGUUUGAAACGUCCCAAAGGAAUGCUGAAGUCUUUUGUCGGAAGAUGGAAGAAGAAUUUAAAGAAUGGCUAGAAAGAAAUGAUGGACCUCCAUUAAGUAAUCAGUCAUUAUCACGUGACCUUGAAGAAAAUAUUAGCACUUGUGGCAACAUUCUGGGUCCACUCCUUUCCAGACUGCCAGUUGCAGGAGCAACAGAUGCAGAUUUGAGGGGCAAGAUGGAUAAGAUGUCCAGUCAAAUCCAUGAGUAUGAACUUCUCGUGAAGCAGCUUAAGGAAGAAGUACAAGAGGAAAAAUCAAAGGCAAGGGAUGAAGCAGAGGAUUUAGCUCAAGAAAUGGCAGAGUUACGGUACCAACUUACAGGUUUGCUUGAAGAAGAGCGCAAACGCCGUGCUUGCAUUGAACAAAUAUCUUUACAAAGAAUUGCUCAAUUGGAGGCUCAGAUUAAAAGAGAGCGGACAAAAAGUUUCAGUUCUGUCAGGCUUAUCCAUGAAGCGUAGCAAAUUGACUGGAUUAAAACAGUUGCAUUUCAGCAUUGAUGAAAUGUACUUAGAGGUGCUUAUUCAUAACCUUCGUACCUUCAAAUUCCUUAAGCCAUAUCUUUGAUUGCCGAUCAAGAAAACCAAUAUCUUUGACUUGGAAGUACUGGAAGAUCUGUAGUUCUGAAGAGUCUGCACGGCGUGUAGACAAUAAUUAAGUUUACAACUGCGCAAAAUGCAAAUGCAAACUUCAAACUCUUCUUGUGGGUUGCUUUUUAGAGCCUCAAGGAGAUAUGGUUUGAAAUUCAUAGAACAGACGCGGCUCUCUUGACAAGCUCAUAUAGUAUCCAUCAGUUCCCGAAAUGAUGUCAAUCCUCAGAUAAGGAGUGAAUUAUAUUUAUGGUAUUGGAUUGUUUAUUGUAUCCAUCAGCUUCUUCAAGGUUGUAUGUUGGGUAUUCAUAGGCUUGUUAAGUUAUGAAGCAUGUUCACCCAUUGCGAGCUGGGCUGCUGCUACUGUUGUCUGAAGAUGUAAUUGUAUAGCAAGGAACUGUUUGUUAUUUUAUGCAAGGGAAAAUUCAAUUUA
Molecule: RNA transcript, 1939 nt
Organism: Rhododendron vialii
Lineage: Eukaryota; Viridiplantae; Streptophyta; Magnoliopsida; Ericales; Ericaceae
Exons: 9
Source: RefSeq, a predicted model, not a curated record